Molecule: small nuclear RNA, 107 nt
Organism: Vombatus ursinus (common wombat)
Lineage: Eukaryota; Metazoa; Chordata; Mammalia; Diprotodontia; Vombatidae
Source: Ensembl
GUGCUCAUUUCCAUAGCACACAUUUUAAAAUGGGAAUGAUACAGGGAAGAUUAUUAUGGUCUCUGUGCAAGGAUGACAUGAAAAUUUGCAAAACAUUCUAUAUUUUU